CAACAACAUACGCAUAAAGCAACAAAAUAGCAGUAGCUACACAGCAACAACACGGCAAAAACUAACGAAACAACGACAAUAAUAUCCACGACGCCGAUCAGCAUUCGGACCACCAGAUAUUAGGAAAUCCUGUGGUUUUUCCCCCUCUUCUCUCUCCCCCUAGUCUCUUUCCAUCUCUAUCAACAUCAAUUGUCUUUUCAUCAAUUUUUUUUUCAAGAAAACCAAAGCCCAAUGCUCUACAAUUUCAAGAAAAAUGGGGGAAAACUCAAGAACCAUUGGAUUCAAGGUGUCACACCUUCAAUUCGACGGUUAUCAAAGUUUAAACCGGUGGAUCCAAGCCACUCCACCUCCAAUCCGUCACUUUUCUUCAAAUUGACCGAAAGAGCUUCAAGGAGCCAUUGCAAUCCAAUACUGCCUAUAAAAAAGGAGUUAUAUCCACCCCCUUGAAGGAGAGGGAAAAAAAAAAAGAAAAAAAACGAGUAAGAAAAAAAAGGUGACAAAGAAAUUGGAUUUCUUUUUUGGAGUUUUUGUCAUACUCUCCGAUUAACCAAGUUUCUAUUUCCUUUGCCUUAUUUUUCGAUCAUCAUUACUAAUCCCUCAUUCUGUCCAUAUCGCUCGCAUCUCGAAGUGGUGUGAAGACUAAUUGAGCUCGUCUUCACCGUUUCUACCUCAGAAAAGGGAGUAUACAGAAAAAUGCAAGAAAGAAGCUGUUGAUAAACAUCAGAUAAACAGGGGCACAAAAGGGGGCUAAAGUCCAUGGAAUUGGUCAAAAAUUGGACAGAUUUUUAAGGCUAAAGGGACCCAAUUUUCACUCUUCUCUAUUUACUUAUCCAUUCUAACUUAGUAUUUGUAUUUGCUUGAACACUUUAAUUAAUUAAUUUGUAUUUGCUUGAACAUUUUAAUUAAUUAAUCUAAGAUAAAUUCCUCAA
Molecule: long non-coding RNA, 929 nt
Organism: Capsicum annuum
Lineage: Eukaryota; Viridiplantae; Streptophyta; Magnoliopsida; Solanales; Solanaceae
Exons: 3
Source: RefSeq, a predicted model, not a curated record